UGCCCUUAAAGGUGAACCCAGU
Molecule: microRNA, 22 nt
Filed under: Pan troglodytes (chimpanzee)
Lineage: Eukaryota; Metazoa; Chordata; Mammalia; Primates; Hominidae
Also listed under: 2 other names
Description: ptr-miR-938
Gene: ptr-miR-938
Source: miRBase by way of RNAcentral